GAAUAUUGGACAAUGGGCGCAAGCCUGAUCCAGCCAUGCCGCGUGAGUGAUGAAGGCCCUAGGGUUGUAAAGCUCUUUCACCGGUGAAGAUAAUGACGGUAGCCGUAGAAGAAGCCCCGGCUAACUUCGUGCCAGCAGCCGCGGUAAUACGAAGGGGGCUAGCGUUGUUCGGAAUUACUGGGCGUAAAGCGCUCGUAGGCGGAUCGAUCAGUCAGGGGUGAAAUCCCAGGGCUCAACCCUGGAACUGCCUUUGAUACUGUCGAUCUAGAGUCCGGAAGAGGUGAGUGGAAUUGCGAGUGUAGAGGUGAAAUUCGUAGAUAUUCGCAGGAACACCAGUGGCGAAGGCGGCUCACUGGUCCGGUACUGACGCUGAGGAGCGAAAGCGUGGGGAGCAAACAGG
This 400-nucleotide ribosomal RNA is filed under the name uncultured bacterium. RNAcentral describes it as "bacterial SSU rRNA". It matches the Rfam family "Bacterial small subunit ribosomal RNA", at positions 359 to 776 of the family's 1533-position model. The record is from RNAcentral.